This 477-nucleotide ribosomal RNA is filed under the name Bacillus sp. A1-4. Its description in RNAcentral is "bacterial SSU rRNA". It matches the Rfam family "Bacterial small subunit ribosomal RNA", at positions 21 to 490 of the family's 1533-position model. Lineage: Bacteria; Bacillati; Bacillota; Bacilli; Caryophanales; Bacillaceae. The record is from RNAcentral.
UUCUCAGGAUGAACGCUGGCGGCGUGCCUAAUACAUGCAAGUCGAGCGAACUGAUUAGAAGCUUGCUUCUAUGACGUUAGCGGCGGACGGGUGAGUAACACGUGGGCAACCUGCCUGUAAGACUGGGAUAACUUCGGGAAACCGAAGCUAAUACCGGAUAGGAUCUUCUCCUUCAUGGGAGAUGAUUGAAAGAUGGUUUCGGCUAUCACUUACAGAUGGGCCCGCGGUGCAUUAGCUAGUUGGUGAGGUAACGGCUCACCAAGGCAACGAUGCAUAGCCGACCUGAGAGGGUGAUCGGCCACACUGGGACUGAGACACGGCCCAGACUCCUACGGGAGGCAGCAGUAGGGAAUCUUCCGCAAUGGACGAAAGUCUGACGGAGCAACGCCGCGUGAGUGAUGAAGGCUUUCGGGUCGUAAAACUCUGUUGUUAGGGAAGAACAAGUACGAGAGUAACUGCUCGUACCUGACGGUACUA